Molecule: non-coding RNA, 638 nt
Organism: Biomphalaria pfeifferi
Lineage: Eukaryota; Metazoa; Mollusca; Gastropoda; Planorbidae
Source: the annotation of a GenBank genome assembly
UCCAUUGCAGAUAGACUUUUAUUUCACUUCCAGACAGUGUACAUGUUAUUGAUGACUGGGCUCUGCACUACACUCAAUAGUAGGACUUCUCAGAAUAACAAUGAAACAUAAAAUAUUUUAAGUAUUUACUUCUAGAGAGAACUGACACAAAACAUGUGUAGUAGAUUAUUGUGGAACAAGAAAAACUUUUGUAGUUUUUAAAUCUUCCAAAAGUCGAUUUUCUUUUUUGUUUUUGUUUAAAUAUUUGGAUGUCCAGAGCUGAAACAAAAAAGUUUGAUGAAGGCAAUACAUAUAUAUAUGAAGACAUUCACAAAAAAGAUAUCAAUUUAUUGAGUUCUGCUCACAAUGUACAAUAUCACAUCAGUUUGAGAGGGAACAGAAUUUGAAAAAAAAAACAACAAAAAAACAACAUAAACUUUUUUUUUAAAGGUUUUGAGGGUGGGAUCACAGCUAACUCACAAAAUGCACGAGGAAGAAAAAUAUAGAUCAGUUGAUAUUUGAAUAUUAUCACUCUAGAACAAUAGCCACAAAUCUAAUGGGAUUGCACAAUUGUAUUUUUUUAAAUUAUAAUUUUACAAUAUUAUAUUUAAGUAGCCAAAUUUUGAGUUCAGCCACUUAUUCUGCCCCCCCCCCCCCCU